This 254-nucleotide ribosomal RNA is filed under the name uncultured bacterium. RNAcentral's name for it is "partial 16S ribosomal RNA". It matches the Rfam family "Bacterial small subunit ribosomal RNA", at positions 524 to 776 of the family's 1533-position model. The record is from RNAcentral.
UACGUAGGGGCCUAGCGUUGUCCGGAUUUAUUGGGCGUAAAGAGCUCGUAGGCGGUUCGGCAAGUCGGAUGUGAAAUCUCCACGCUCAACGUGGAGGGGCCAUUCGAAACUGCCGUGACUCGAGUCCGGUAGGGGAGUGUGGAAUUCCCGGUGUAGCGGUGAAAUGCGCAGAUAUCAGGAAGAACACCCGUGGCUAAGGCGGUUCUCUAGUACGGUACUGACGCUGAGACGCGAAAGCGUGGGGAGCGAACAGG